RNAcentral lists this ribosomal RNA (321 nucleotides) under Escherichia coli 1-176-05_S4_C1. Its description in RNAcentral is "partial 16S ribosomal RNA". RNAcentral also lists the same sequence under 1 other name. Lineage: Bacteria; Pseudomonadati; Pseudomonadota; Gammaproteobacteria; Enterobacterales; Enterobacteriaceae. The record is from RNAcentral.
AUUGCUUGUUUUAUGGCACAUUAACGGGGGCUUUUGCUGAAAAAAUGCGCGGUCAGAAAAUUAUUUUAAAUUUCCUCUUGUCAGGCCGGAAUAACUCCCUAUAAUGCGCCACCACUGACACGGAACAACGGCAAACACGCCGCCGGGUCAGCGGGGUUCUCCUGAGAACUCCGGCAGAGAAAGCAAAAAUAAAUGCUUGACUCUGUAGCGGGAAAGCGUAUUAUGCACACCCCGCGCCGCUGAGAAAAAGCAAAGCGGCACUGCUCUUUAACAAUUUAUCAGACAAUCUGUGUGGGCACUCGAAGAUACGGAUUCUUAACG